AAUUGAUUAUACUAUUAUGUUAUGUGGAAUUAUGUGAAUUAUUUCAACUACAUGAUUAUUAUUAAUUGUUCUCUCACUAUGAUAUAGGUGGAAUUACAAAAAUUGCAUGUGGAAUACUUGUGAAUUAGUAUAUGAGACAUAUGUUCUAUUGACCACUACUAGGGCAUCGAGGCAUGCCAUUGUGUUAGCCGCGAGUGAGAUUUCUCGGGUUAUAGCAAGGGUAGUUAAGGGAUGUACAUUUGGUGAUCACAGGAGGAUUGACCACUUGCUUGUACUAUGGUGAUAUGGUGAUUAUUAGUUUCUUGGGUGGGAUACUUUCUGGGCGAUCAUGGGGUUGUCAGGGGAUGUACCUCUAGUGAUCACAGGAGGAUGGUCUACUCAACUGUGAUAUUGUGAUCAUUAGCAUCUUGGGUGGGAUAUUUCUUGGAUGAUCAUGGGGGAUGUCAGGAGAUGUACCCCUGAUGGUUACAGGAGGAUGGGCCAUUCGAUUAUGCUAGUUGAUUAUUAAUUACUGAUAUUGAUAUUAAGCAGAGCUCUAUUCGAUACCUGGUAGGUGUGUCAUGGGCCCAACAAAAAUGAAAGUUUCAAAUGAAAAUAUUUUGAGUUUACAUUGAUGAUUUAUCAUGUCUGAAAGAUGAUGUUUUCAGUAUUACAAGAAUAAUUCUAUCUUGAUUAUUAUUAUGUAAUGUUAUAUCAUGACCUGUUAAGUGAUGUAGACUCGAUUUUGAUAAAAAUGUAUGAAUCAAAAGGUAUAAUUAUUUUAAAACUUCACCACUCAAUGAGCUAUCAACUUAUAUAUUUUCUUGCAAUUUUUCUUAUCGGGUAGCAGUUGAAUUUUUGGGCAUCUUUUGGAAUUGAGCCUUUGAUUUUGGAGUCAAAGCCUUACGAUAGAGUUUGUCAGUAUGACUAUUUCAUGGAGCAUGUUGUCCAUGUUUUGGGACACAUGUUC
This 949-nucleotide long non-coding RNA is filed under the name Olea europaea subsp. europaea. The record is from RNAcentral. Lineage: Eukaryota; Viridiplantae; Streptophyta; Magnoliopsida; Lamiales; Oleaceae.